GGCCAGACUCCUACGGGAGGCAGCAGUGGGGGAUAUUGCACAAUGGGGGGAACCCUGAUGCAGCGACGCCGCGUGGGUGAAGGAGCGUUUCGGCGCGUAAAGCCCUAUCGGCAGGGAAGAAGGAGGACGGUACCUGACUAAGAAGCCCCGGCUAACUACGUGCCAGCAGCCGCGGUAAUACGUAGGGGGCAAGCGUUAUCCGGAUUCACUGGGUGUAAAGGGAGCGUAGACGGCGACGCAAGUCUGGAGUGAAAGCCCGGGGCCCAACCCCGGGACUGCUCUUGGAACUGCGUGGCUAGAGUGCAGGAGGGGCAGGCGGAAUUCCUGGUGUAGCGGUGAAAUGCGUAGAUAUCAGGAGGAACACCGGCGGCGAAGGCGGCCUGCUGGACCGUGACUGACGUUGAGGCUCGAGAGCGUGGGGAGCAAACAGGAUUAGAUACCCGAGUA
Molecule: ribosomal RNA, 447 nt
Filed under: uncultured bacterium
Lineage: Bacteria
Description: partial 16S ribosomal RNA
Rfam family: Bacterial small subunit ribosomal RNA
Source: RNAcentral